Molecule: ribosomal RNA, 492 nt
Filed under: uncultured bacterium
Lineage: Bacteria
Description: partial 16S ribosomal RNA
Rfam family: Bacterial small subunit ribosomal RNA
Source: RNAcentral
AGUUAACGCUGGCGGUAGUCCUAACCCAUGCAAGUCGAACGGCAGCACAGUAAUAGCUUGCCUUUAUGGGUUGCGAGUGGCGGACGUGUCAGGUACCCAUCGGCAUCUACUUUUUCAUGCGUGAUAACGCAGGCAUACGUCUGCUAAUACCGCAUAAGUCCUCCGGGGGUACUCAGUAGUCCUUUCGCUCUUGCUCGGUUGAAUGACCCGAUUCCGCAUUAUCUAUUUGUCGCGGUAACGGCCCACCAAGUCGACGAUCCUGAGCUGGUCCGACUGGAUGAUCCGCCACACUGGACCUGAGCCACGGUCCAGACUCCUACGGGAGGCCGCAGUGGGGAAUAUUGGACAAUGGGCGCAAGCCUGCUCCAGCCAUACCGCGUGGGUCAAGAAGGCCUUCGGGUUGUAAAGCCCUUUUGUUGGGAAAGAAAAGCAGCAGAUUAAUACCCCGCUGUUCUGACGGUACCCAACGAAUAAGCACCGGCUAACUUCGUG